Molecule: long non-coding RNA, 571 nt
Organism: Sorghum bicolor (sorghum)
Lineage: Eukaryota; Viridiplantae; Streptophyta; Magnoliopsida; Poales; Poaceae
Exons: 3
Source: RefSeq, a predicted model, not a curated record
CCCGUCCGCUGCAUGCCUACAUGCGUUGUUUCCCCACCCAAUCCACCGCAACUCUCUCCUCUCAUCCCCUCCUGCUCCCCCAUCCGCUGCACCCUCGCUCUCCCCAAAGCACGCGUGUCGGACAGGGACUGACAGCCACGCAGUAAUCCGACGCCACCAGCAAUCACAAAGGCGAGAUGGGCUACAGCGACGCCGCAUCGCCCGUAUCGGCGGCCGCUGGACGUGAUGCCAAGAAGAAGAGGGUGAGGGGCCUGCUCACCUUUGGCGGUGGGGGCGAGCGGCGAAGCUGAAGCCGAGCAAGUGAGAUGCCGCCAUGGAUAGUUUCUGUCAAGGGGCUAAGGAUCCAAGGCAAUCCUUAGAAAACUACAUGUUCUCAAAUGGAUGUGAGGUGCUAAAGAUUCUGCAUACAUAAUGGAAAACACCAUGUGCAAGUGAUGCAAGAGCCCAUAUUAUCGAGGAGGUGGCCUCGAUCCUGCCAUCCAGGAGCAUCUAUGAUGGGAUUCAAGAUAUGGAAACUCCAGCUCUUUUGAUCUUGUGACUGAUUUUGUCAAUGAUAUUCUAUUUUCAUGCA